Molecule: transfer RNA, 85 nt
Organism: Felis catus (domestic cat)
Lineage: Eukaryota; Metazoa; Chordata; Mammalia; Carnivora; Felidae
Rfam family: tRNA
About the family: Transfer RNA (tRNA) molecules are approximately 80 nucleotides in length. Their secondary structure includes four short double-helical elements and three loops (D, anti-codon, and T loops).
Source: Rfam
GCCUGGGUGGCUCAGUCGGUUGAGCGUCUGACUUCGGCUCAGGUCAUGAUCUCGCACUUCAUGAGUUCGAGCCCCACAUCGGGCU